RNAcentral lists this long non-coding RNA (1576 nucleotides) under Vigna radiata. RNAcentral's name for it is "long non-coding RNA (VRAD_LNC003988)". The record is from RNAcentral. Lineage: Eukaryota; Viridiplantae; Streptophyta; Magnoliopsida; Fabales; Fabaceae.
AACCUUCUUGGCCAUGUAAGCUUGAAGUGGUUUCUUGAUACCUUAGUUUCCUUAUAUAAUUUGUUUGUCCAAGUCAAACCUGAAGAAUUAUGAAACUUAAAAUGAAAACUAGUUCGUGCAUAUACUCAAUGUAAUUGAACUAUAGUUGAAAGUAAACUCCAGACCAACACUCAUACCCUCCCAAAUAAUCAUGUAAAAGGUUUUGAAAGCAUCAUAUAGAAACAUGAAAGUUUGCUUUAAGUUUUAUCAUCCAUUGAAACUCCCAUAUGUUUGAAUAGAAGAUUUGAGUAGGGAAUGAACUCACUCUCAAUAUUCCUAUUUGUGAUUUCAGGCGUGGAGAUUAUGGAAUGAAGAAAGGCCACUGGAGUUAAUGGAUGAGAUGUUAGAUGAUGGUGGAGACUUAUCUUUAGAAAUACUGCGGUAUAUUCAUGUGGGUCUGUUGUGUGUACAACAGAAUCCAGAAAAUAGGCCUAAUAUGUCCUCUAUUGUUCUAAUGUUAAAUGGUGAGAAGUUGCUACCGAAACCAAGCCAGCCUGGAUUCUAUAUAGGAAAAGAUAAUAUUGCUGACACUGAAUCUUCAAAGCAAUAUGAAAGGUGUUCAAUAAAUGAAGUUUCAAUUUCAUCCUUAGAUGCGCGAUAGAACAUGUUUCAAGUAAUGAUAUAUAGGAUGUCAUGUUGGUCAACAAAAUCUCAUUGGGACCACACAGUUUUUUCAAUGAUGUAACUUUGUUUGCGCAUGCCUUUUUUUACCUUCGAAGACUUUGAUGUAUGCCUCGUAGUGAUGGAGAUGUUAGUAGGUAGUGGUGUGUGUAACAUAGAAGACGACACACACUGCAUAAUUGAACUUUGUAAUUAUGUGUUUGUUUCAUUGAUAAAUAUCAUAGACCUUAAAUAAUAGUAGGAAUAGUGAUAAAUAUAGUAACCCUAAGUUUUAAGAGCAUAAAAUCACUAAUAAUGAUAGACUCAAUGACAAAAUUAAUCAAAUCAAAUUGCGACAAUAACUAAAAACCGUAACAUGGUAAUCAUGUAUCAAAUAAAUUAUGAUUCAAAUAAAAUUACUAAUAAACACCUUAGAUUUAAGUUUAUUCAACAAAACUCUUUUAUAAACUUAAAUCUUUCCAUCCUUCAUUAAUUCUUGCACUCCAACUUUCCUUGUGUAUCAUCCCACAUUAGGUUUGUUUCUUCCAUUAAGAGUUGGAUUUUUCAUUUUCUUCAUAUUUGUCGUAUUUUCUUUCACCUUAAUUGACUUUAUGAUGUUUUUACUUACUUGUUUUUCAUUAUGGUUGACCUCUUAUUCACCUUGACCAACAUGACUAACCUCUUCUUUGCUUUGACAGACUUAUUUUUUGCUCUGUCCGACUUCUCAAUAAUGAUGGAGAAGCUCCUUCAACAUUGUUGAUGAAACUCCUUGAUGAAGAGAUGACGUAGCGGAAGCAUGAAGAAGAAGUGUUGAGAUGGCUUGAUGUUGCGAAUUGAUGAAGCAUUCUUAAAGGAAGUUGGGCCAACCUUGAAGGAAAAGGAAGAAAAAGCCUAGAAAAAAGACUACUCCAAUGAGAACUUAGGAAGAGAGGCUUGC